CCUACGGGUGGCAGCAGUAGGGAAUCUUCCACAAUGGACGAAAGUCUGAUGGAGCAACGCCGCGUGCGUGAAGAAGGGUUUCGGCUCGUAAAGCUCCGUUUGUAGUGAAGAAAGAUAGAGGUAGUAACUGGCUUUUAUUUGACGGUAAUUACUUAGAAAGUCUCGGCUAACUACGUGCCAGCAGAUGCGGUAAUACGUAGGUGGCAAGCGUUGUCCGGAUUUAUUUGGCGUAAACCGAGUGCAGGCGGUUCAAUAAGUCUGAUGUGAAAGCCCUCGGCUCACACGGGGAAUUGCAUCAGAAACUGUUGAGCUUGAGUGCAGAAGAGGAGAGUGGAACUCCAUGUGUAGCGGUGGAAUGCGUAGAUAUAUGGAAGAACACCAGUGGCGAAGGCGGCUCUCUGGUCUGCAACUGACGCUGAGGCUCGAAAGCAUGGGUAGCGAACAGGAUUAGAUACCCCAGUAGUC
Molecule: ribosomal RNA, 465 nt
Filed under: uncultured bacterium
Lineage: Bacteria
Description: partial 16S ribosomal RNA
Rfam family: Bacterial small subunit ribosomal RNA
Source: RNAcentral